GAUAAACGCUGGCGGCGCACAUAAGACAUGCAAGUCGAACGAACUUAACCAUUAGUUUACUAUUGGAGCGGUUAGUGGCGGACUGGUGAGUAACACGUAAGCAACCUGCCUAUCAGAGGGGAACAACAGUUAGAAAUGACUGCUAAUACCGCAUAAGACCACAGCACCGCAUGGUGCAGGGGUAAAACUCCGGUGGUAUGAGAUGGAUCCGCGUCUGAUUAGCUAGUUGGUAAGGUAACGGCUUACCAAGGCAACGAUCAGUAGCCGACCUGAGAGGGUGACCGGCCACAUUGGGACUGAGACACGGCCCAA
RNAcentral lists this ribosomal RNA (312 nucleotides) under uncultured bacterium. RNAcentral describes it as "bacterial SSU rRNA". It matches the Rfam family "Bacterial small subunit ribosomal RNA", at positions 28 to 334 of the family's 1533-position model. The record is from RNAcentral.